This 587-nucleotide ribosomal RNA is filed under the name uncultured bacterium. Its description in RNAcentral is "bacterial SSU rRNA". It matches the Rfam family "Bacterial small subunit ribosomal RNA", at positions 338 to 916 of the family's 1533-position model. The record is from RNAcentral.
CCUACGGGAGGCAGCAGUGGGGAAUUUUGGACAAUGGGCGCAAGCCUGAUCCAGCCAUGCCGCGUGAGUGAAGAAGGCCUUCGGGUUGUAAAGCUCUUUCAGACGGAAAGAAAUCUCUUGGGUUAAUACCCUGGGAGGAUGACGGUACCGUAAGAAGAAGCACCGGCUAACUACGUGCCAGCAGCCGCGGUAAUACGUAGGGUGCGAGCGUUAAUCGGAAUUACUGGGCGUAAAGCGUGCGCAGGCGGUGAUGUAAGACAGAUGUGAAAUCCCCGGGCUCAACCUGGGAACUGCGUUUGUGACUGCAUCACUCGAGUACGGCAGAGGGAGGUGGAAUUCCGCGUGUAGCAGUGAAAUGCGUAGAUAUGCGGAGGAACACCGAUGGCGAAGGCAGCCUCCUGGGCCAGUACUGACGCUCAUGCACGAAAGCGUGGGGAGCAAACAGGAUUAGAUGCCCUGGUAGUCCACGCCCUAAACGAUGUCAACUAGUUGUUCGGUGAGGAGACUCAUUGAGUAACGCAGCUAACGCGUGAAGUUGACCGCCUGGGGAGUACGGCCGCAAGGUUAAAACUCAAAUGAAUUGACGG